GAGCUGCUGCUACAGCAACUUCACCCACAGCUACCAUGACUUUGAUCCCCGUCUUCAUCUGGACACUGAUCUUCUGGACUCAAGAAUGCAGAGGUCAAGUCACAGUAACUCAGACUCCUGCAGUGAAAUCUGCUCUUCCAGGAGAAACAGUCACCAUCAACUGUAGAACCAGUCAGGCAGUGUACAAGGACUCAACCGGUGACCGCUUACACUGGUAUCAGCAGAAACCUGGAGAAGCUCCUAAACUACUGAUUAAAUAUGUGAACCAGUUACAGUCAGGUUUUCCAGCUCGUUUCAGUGGCAGUGGAUCUGGAUCUGAUUUCACUCUGACCAUCAGUGGAGUCCAGACUGAAGAUGCAGGAGAUUACUACUGUCAGAGUUGGCAUGAUAUCACUGGCUACUGGUUCACACAGUGUUAUAGAGUCGUACAAAAACCUCCCUCAGUCAGAUUGUAGAGAGACUGCACUGCUGCAGCUGGGAGCGACUGCAGGUGCUGAGUUGUAGGAUGUGAUACGACACAAUGACACUUUGUGGAGGAGAGGAACCACACCACACUAACUCACAACUCACAUUGCAAAUCUCUCAAUAAUCAUCACACCACACUGCAUACAGUCCAUCAUGUCCACAACCUAUGUAGUUUUCUACAACGUCUACCCCUGGAGAUGCAUCCUCAUGUCUAGAUUCUGUGAUCCCUAUGGAGAAGAUUCUUGGGUUACACAUCUGACUAGACAAGCAAACUCUAGGUAGCUCUAUUAAACUAACUAACCUUCUCUCCUUACAUUGCAUCAAGACUCUUCUCUGUCCUGGCCCCCAGGUGGUGGAAUGAACUUCCUCUG
Molecule: non-coding RNA, 836 nt
Organism: Pangasianodon hypophthalmus (striped catfish)
Lineage: Eukaryota; Metazoa; Chordata; Actinopteri; Siluriformes; Pangasiidae
Source: the annotation of a RefSeq genome assembly